Molecule: ribosomal RNA, 393 nt
Filed under: uncultured bacterium
Lineage: Bacteria
Description: partial 16S ribosomal RNA
Rfam family: Bacterial small subunit ribosomal RNA
Source: RNAcentral
AUACGGAAGGUCCGGGCGUUAUCCGGAUUUAUUGGGUUUAAAGGGAGCGCAGGCGGAGAUGCAAGCGUGACGUCAAAUUUCGGGGCUCAACCCCGUCUCGCGUCGCGAACUGCGUCCCUUGGUUGCGGGAAGGGGAGGCGGAACUCGUGGUGGAGCGGGGAAAUGCAUAGAUAUCACGAAGAACUCCGAUCGCGAAGGCAGCCUUCCGGCCCGUCAACGACGCUCAUGCUCGAAGGUGCGGGUAUCAAACAGGAUUAGAUACCCUGGUAGUCCGCACAGUAAACGAUGGACACCCGCGGUUUGGCCUGUAUGGCUGAGCCGCCAAGCGAAAGCGUUAAGUGUCCCACCUGGGGAGUACGCCGGCAACGGUGAAACUCAAAUGAAUUGGCGGGG